Molecule: long non-coding RNA, 1010 nt
Filed under: Fukomys damarensis (Damara mole-rat)
Lineage: Eukaryota; Metazoa; Chordata; Mammalia; Rodentia; Bathyergidae
Description: lncRNA (ENSFDAG00000031437.1)
Source: RNAcentral
GUAAGAGUCAGGAGGGGGAGGGAAUUCUCUUUUGACCACAAACUAUUACAUUUCUCACAAAGGCAGUUACUCAACAACUUCCUCUGAUGUCUCCACUAACUCGGUCUUUGGCAGGAGGAAGAAACUGAGAUGCAGAGCUGGGCAACUAACUGACUAUUUGUGCACUCGAGAGGCUGGUCCCAAGCUCAGUAGUGGACGUGGAUUUAUGAUGAAAGCUUCUAAGGUCAUCUUGCCUUUGAGGGAAGAGCCAGACAGCCCAUGGUUCCAGAUCUGGUGAACGAGGUGAAUGAGGAAACGCUGCAAUGUUUUUAUGAGCCUACCUUUCCAUUGGAUGGCACUCAGCAGCAGCAUUUAGUAUAUUUUUGAGUAUAUCUUGUAAAGAUACUCUUGAAAGAGGACUUCUGCACCGCUUUAGAAAGUGGCAAGAUCGAUGAGAGCCUUCCCUGUGGCUCUUCAGAGAGGAAGAAUCAUUCCUCAGCCAGUGCCAGCCAAGGAAGCUUCUGCCUAGGAGCUUUCUUAGCAUCUUCACAGAGGCAAAAAGAACCAUGGCUGAAGCCCACAGAAAAGCACCACAAAAAAUAUACUCCUGUGGCUGCGUUCCUACAUCUUCAGCUCCAGAGGGUCUUUUCCGCUGCGCCCUCCCCUGCUGGCGCCGCUGCGGCCAUCUUCAAUGCUAGAGAGGUAGCUGCGUGGGCACCAUGAAAACCCCCCCCCCAACCUUUCCCCUCGUGCUUUCAGACCUCCUGAUUGUACCAGUCUUUGGACCUACUCUGUAGAGGCCGAGGUGGUCAUAAAGAGUAUUUUCUGGCACUUUCAACUUUGAACAUCUUUAAAGAAGUGGUGGGGGAAACUUAUAGUAGAACUGAGUGGAGUUCAACCCUUCAGGAGGUCGGGGAACUCAGUCUGGGCCUUGCCUCCUGAGCUCAGUCUGCGUCGUGGGGUUCUGCCACCAGCUAGCUGAGAUCAGGGGACUCGGCUCUGCAAAUGGCAGCACAUAUUAUAUAUUAUGA